Molecule: transfer RNA, 54 nt
Filed under: Ixodes scapularis (black-legged tick)
Lineage: Eukaryota; Metazoa; Arthropoda; Arachnida; Ixodida; Ixodidae
Rfam family: tRNA
About the family: Transfer RNA (tRNA) molecules are approximately 80 nucleotides in length. Their secondary structure includes four short double-helical elements and three loops (D, anti-codon, and T loops).
Source: Rfam by way of RNAcentral
CCCUGGUUAGCUCAGUUGGUAGAGCGCUCCACUGGAAAUGGAGAGGUCCCUGGU